GAAAGAAUUUCUGCAAAAGAAAAUGGGCCAUCCAGUGUCUCUGAUCAGGAUGUUACCAUGGCUGAUGCCUGUACAAGUUCAAUCAAGGCCUCGCCAAGUGCAAGGGGAUCAAGUUUUAUUGAGGGGAUCUCUAAAUCUUCAUAUGUAAAGCAAGCAUCAGAUCUUAAAGGCUCUUCUGUAAAGGUUUUGAAUUGCCAUGAUUCUGUCAUUUACAUCUUGGCACCCUUGAGAUAUGCCACC
RNAcentral lists this unclassified non-coding RNA (240 nucleotides) under Hevea brasiliensis (rubber tree). The record is from RNAcentral. Lineage: Eukaryota; Viridiplantae; Streptophyta; Magnoliopsida; Malpighiales; Euphorbiaceae.